RNAcentral lists this ribosomal RNA (856 nucleotides) under Metarhizium cylindrosporum. RNAcentral describes it as "LSU rRNA". It matches the Rfam family "Eukaryotic large subunit ribosomal RNA", at positions 73 to 958 of the family's 3401-position model. Lineage: Eukaryota; Fungi; Ascomycota; Sordariomycetes; Hypocreales; Clavicipitaceae. The record is from RNAcentral.
GAUGCCCCAGUAACGGCGAGGAAGCGGCAACAGCUCAAAUUUGAAAUCUGCGCCCCUUAGGGCCCGAGUUGUAAUUUGCAGAGGAUGCUUUUGGCGAGGUGCCUUCCGAGUUCCCUGGAACGGGACGCCAUAGAGGGUGAGAGCCCCGUCUGGUUGGAUGCCGAGCCUCUGUAAAGCUCCUUCGACGAGUCGAGUAGUUUGGGAAUGCUGCUCUAAAUGGGAGGUAUAUGUCUUCUAAAGCUAAAUACCGGCCAGAGACCGAUAGCGCACAAGUAGAGUGAUCGAAAGAUGAAAAGCACUUUGAAAAGAGGGUUAAAUAGUACGUGAAAUUGUUGAAAGGGAAGCGCUUAUGACCAGACUUGGACCCGGUGAAUCAUCCAGCGUUCUCGCUGGUGCACUUUGCCGGGCUCAGGCCAGCAUCAGUUUGCCUCGGGGGAUAAAGGCUUUGGGAAUGUGGCUCCCUCGGGAGUGUUAUAGCCCAUUGCACAAUACCCUGGGGCGGACUGAGGUUCGCGCAUCUGCAAGGAUGCUGGCGUAAUGGUCAUCAGCGACCCGUCUUGAAACACGGACCAAGGAGUCGUCUUCGUAUGCGAGUGUUCGGGUGUAAAACCCCUACGCGUAAUGAAAGUGAACGCAGGGUGAGAGCUUCGGCGCAUCAUCGACCGAUCCUGAUGUUCUCGGAUGGAUUUGAGUAAGAGCAUACGGGGCCGGACCCGAAAGAAGGUGAACUAUGCCUGUAUAGGGUGAAGCCAGAGGAAACUCUGGUGGAGGCUCGCAGCGGUUCUGACGUGCAAAUCGAUCGUCAAAUAUGGGCAUGGGGGCGAAAGACUAAUCGAACCUUCUAGUAGCUGGUUUC